Molecule: transfer RNA, 85 nt
Filed under: Actinomycetota bacterium
Lineage: Bacteria; Bacillati; Actinomycetota
Description: Actinobacteria bacterium tRNA-Ser
Rfam family: tRNA
About the family: Transfer RNA (tRNA) molecules are approximately 80 nucleotides in length.
Source: RNAcentral
GGAGACGUGCGAGAGCGGACGAUUCGGCACGCCUGGAACGCGUGUGUGGAGCAACUCACCGUGGGUUCGAAUCCCACCGUCUCCG